This 2779-nucleotide ribosomal RNA is filed under the name Triticum aestivum (bread wheat). RNAcentral's name for it is "partial small subunit ribosomal RNA". Lineage: Eukaryota; Viridiplantae; Streptophyta; Magnoliopsida; Poales; Poaceae. The record is from RNAcentral.
GAUGGAGAGAGACGGCGGCGCUCGCGGGGGAGGGUGGGCGGCCGGAGGAAGAAAACCACCUGGGAUGGGCCUCAAAGCGGGCCGGCAGAAACUGGCAUGACAAGCGUUGGCCCACGCAGCCAGGCCGCAGCCCGCAGGCCCGUGGCUCUCCGGAGGCAGGCAGAUCAACGGUGCUGGCUGGGUCAGCGCAGGAUCGGACGGCUCGGGAGAUCUCAGGGAUGAGAGUGUGACGGCGGAAAAGAGUGAGGGCUAGACUGCAAGUUGCUCUCUAAAUGAGCCGCGACCUCGCCCAGCUCUUCUUCCUCCUCCUCCUCCUCUAGCUAGGGCUAAGCUGAUCUUCUCCCCCUUCGCCGGCCGCUCCACCCCCACCGAUCCAGCCCCUGCCAGAUUCCAGUCGCUGACAAGACAAAGCCCGUCAUUGGUUACACUUCCAAGUGCAUCGCCUUGACCAUCGUUUGUAUACUCUUGUUUUCUUCUCUGUGCUUGUUCGGGAUCGUGUUCUUGAGAACCUCCCUGUAUCAUCUCGAGCAUACGCAAUUUCUUCGUUUGUCCCUUAAGCAGUUCCAUGCCAUCCAGUUUGGCACCUAUGGCUACAUCCAGUUUGAUAUCAUUGCAUACCAAUUGUUCUAGUUGUUUCUGUUGUUUUUCGUCCUAUCCACAUGUCCUCAAUUUGCUCUCCCCAUAUUUUUGCCUCCUCUGCUCUUUCCAAAGUUGCCUUGGAACUUUGAGCUCUUCAAGAUGCCUAGACGGACAGAAGAAGCUGAACCAAAAGAAUGCUUGGAGUUUGAUGAUAAUGAAGAGGAAGAGGUAGAAGAGGAAGAAAUUGAGUAUGAAGAAAUUGAGGAGGAGGUAGAGGAGGAGGUGGAGGUGGAGGAGGAGGAUAUUUCAGAGGAAGUGGAGGAGGUAGAGGAGGAGGAGGAAGACCCUGAAGAAAGAGAAGUUCUUGAUGAAAUUGAUGCUAGUCAUGACAGUGACAGUAAAUCGGAAGUUGUUCCUCUUCCUCAGCAGGAUGGUGCCAGAGAUGGGAGCGAUAAAGAGAAGCAUGCCGAACUUCUUGCUCUUCCUCCUCAUGGAUCUGAAGUAUAUUUUGGGGGCAUCUCCAGCGAUGCAUCUUCUGACGAUCUCAAGAAACUAUGUGAGCCAGUUGGCGAAGUUGUGGAAGUUAGAAUAAUGCUGAGCAAGAAGGAUAGUAGGGGAUAUGCUUUUGUUACUUUCAGAACUAAUGACCUGGCUUUGAAGGCCAUCGAGAAAUUGAACAAGGCAACUUUCAAGGGAAAGAAGCUAAGAGUUUCUUCGUCCCAGGCUAAGAACAAGCUAUUUGUUGGAAAUAUACCUCACAGUUGGUCAUUUGAUGAUUUUAAAAAAGCAGUGGAAGAAGUUGGUCCUGGAGUAUUAAAAGUUGAUCUGAUUAAGGAUCCACGUACAGAUCGCAAUCGGGGUUAUGGUUUCGUUGAAUACUAUAAUAAUGCAUGCGCUGAGUAUUCAAGGCAGAAGAUGACUGCACCAAAUUUCAAAUUAGAUACAAAUGCUCCUACUGUCAGCUGGGCAGAUCCUAAGAAUGGGGAUUCUGCCUCUACAGGCUCUACGUCACAGGUCAAAUCUGUAUAUGUCAAAAACCUGCCCAAGAAUGUUACUCAAGGGCAGCUGAAAAAGCUGUUUGAGCGCCAUGGUGAAAUCAUAAAAAUUGUUCUCCCCCCUUCAAAAGAUGGUCAUGAUAAUAGGUAUGGUUUUGUUCACUUUAAAGACCGCCACAUGGCCAUGAAGGCUGUGAAGAGCACAGAGAAAUAUGAGCUUGACGGUCAGCUCCUGGACUGCUCACUCGCAAAACCUCCUGCUGAUAAAAAAGACGAUACAGUAUCAUUGCCUACUGCCAAAGGAGGUCCGUUGCUCCAUGCUCCGCUUGGAUAUGGUAUGCCACGGCCAGAUCCUUAUGGUGCGCCUCCUGCUUAUGGUGCCCCUCCUGCUUAUGGUGCACCUCCUGCUUAUGGUGGACAGCCUCUGCUCUAUGCUCCAGGAGCUCCUCCAGGUGCAGCAAUGGUUCCAAUGCUUCUACCGGAUGGCCGUCUUGUAUAUGUUGUGCAACAGCCUGGAGCGCAGCAACAUUUCGCUUCCCCUCCGCCCCAGGUGCGGCAACAUCAGCAUUUCACAUCUCCUCCGCCACAGGCACGACAAAUUGGUCGCCAUGGUGGCAGCGGUGGCGGUGGAGGCAGUGGUGGAUCAAGUAGGUCCGGGUCCGGUACAAAGCGCCCAAGGGGAGAUGACAACAACAGCAGCAGUCGCAACCGACAACGCCGGUAUUGAUCGCAGGAGGUGUAUGGUGGUGCUUCGGUUCUAGCGCCAGCUAAUUGUGUAAUAAGUACUUGUCGCCCCGGUCGGAUUUUCCUACAAACCUGCUUAACCCGGUGAACUGUGAAACCCGCAUCACUAUUCGUUCGGAACUGUGUUAGGUCACCUCGAGGUAGUUUUGGUUUGUCUAGGCGUAAUUUCGUGUACUGUGAUCAAGUUUAGAAAUGGCAAGAACAGCAUCGGUGUCUGAUAUCUAGUAUCCAUAGGCUGCAGUGCCAAGAAGAACCCAGAGCUGAUCUCAGAAUAACAGCAAACGGCACAUCCAGCUGAGGUUCAGUCCAUUUACAUGUCGCCCAGCUUAGAUUUUUCUUUUUGAGCCCAUGCAGGUAUGCAGGAGAACUGCAUGUAAUAUAUGAAAUAGUCUUCAGGAUGCAGGAAAACACAAACUACCUAAAGAAACAAAAACUUCAGGCACAAAGCGACCUUGGUCAGA